CCUACGGGUGGCUGCAGUGGGGAAUAUUGCACAAUGGGCGCAAGCCUGAUGCAGCCAUGCCGCGUGUGUGAAGAAGGCCUUCGGGUUGUAAAGCACUUUCAGCGGGGAGGAAGGCGGUGAGGUUAAUAACCUCAUCGAUUGACGUUACCCGCAGAAGAAGCACCGGCUAACUCCGUGCCAGCAGCCGCGGUAAUACGGAGGGUGCAAGCGUUAAUCGGAAUUACUGGGCGUAAAGCGCACGUAGGCGGUCUGUCAAGUCGGAUGUGAAAUCCCCGGGCUCAACCUGGGAACUGCAUUCGAAACUGGCGGGCUAGAGUAUUGUAGAGGGGGGUAGAAUUCCAGGUGUAGCGGUGAAAUGCGUAGAGAUCUGGAGGAAUACCAGUGGCGAAGGCGGCCCCCUGGACAAAGACUGACGCUCAGGUGCGAAAGCGUGGGGAGCAAACAGGAUUAGAUACCCUAGUAGUC
This 465-nucleotide ribosomal RNA is filed under the name uncultured Klebsiella sp. Its description in RNAcentral is "bacterial SSU rRNA". It matches the Rfam family "Bacterial small subunit ribosomal RNA", at positions 338 to 795 of the family's 1533-position model. Lineage: Bacteria; Pseudomonadati; Pseudomonadota; Gammaproteobacteria; Enterobacterales; Enterobacteriaceae. The record is from RNAcentral.